UAGUUGGAGAGGUAAAAGCUCACCAAGGGGACGAUCAGUAGCCGGUCUGAGAGGAUGACGGCCCACACUGGGACUGAGACACGCCCAAAAUCUUAGCGGGAGGCAGCAGUGGGGAAUCUUCCGCAAUGGACGAAAGUCUGACGGAGCAACGCCGCGUGAGUGAAGAAGUCCUUCGGAUUGUAAAGCUCUGUCAACUAGGACGAAUGUGUGAUUUGUGAAUAAUGAAUCAUAAUGACGGUACUAGAGAAGGAAGCCACGGCUAACUACGUGCCAGCAGCCGCGGUAAUACGUAGGUGGCGAGCGUUGUCCGGAAUUAUUGGGCGUAAAGAGCGCGUAGGCGGGUAAAUAAGUCUGUUUUAAAAGUGCGGGGCUCAACCCCGUGAUGGAAUGGAAACUGUUUAUCUUGAGUACCGGAGAGGAAAGUGGAAUUCCCAGUGUAGCGGUGAAAUGCGUAGAUAUUGGGAGGAACACCAGUGGCGAAGGCGACUUUCUGGACGGUGUCUGACGCU
RNAcentral lists this ribosomal RNA (509 nucleotides) under uncultured bacterium. RNAcentral describes it as "bacterial SSU rRNA". It matches the Rfam family "Bacterial small subunit ribosomal RNA", at positions 246 to 747 of the family's 1533-position model. The record is from RNAcentral.